Molecule: long non-coding RNA, 1222 nt
Filed under: Salvia miltiorrhiza (redroot sage)
Lineage: Eukaryota; Viridiplantae; Streptophyta; Magnoliopsida; Lamiales; Lamiaceae
Description: long non-coding RNA (SMIL_LNC005304)
Source: RNAcentral
UCAAGGUUACUCUAAUUUCCCCUACUUCUAUCUACUAAUUCGAAACCAAGCAUCACAGAUCAGCAGCAAAUACACACGCUCACGCACACUUUCUUUUACUAUAUUUUCUAAGCUAUUCAUUUACAAGGUUUGAUUUUUUUGCUGAGGAAAUAAAAAAAAAAUGAGAAAGAACAGUUUUAAAACAAAAACCCUAACUUGUUCUAUAUUUUGAAUCUGGACUGAAAAAUUUGGGGGUUCUUGUGUCUUUGUCUUCUGUGUAUGUCCGGGAAUGGAGAGAUGGGGGUGAGAGCAGCCGGCGGCUGCUCGCGGCCGGAGGCGGCGCGGCGGCAGCCGCCGCCUUUUUCCUCUUGCUGUUGAAACGAGAGAGAAGGGAAAGGGGGAGAGAUUAGAUUAUAAAAAAAAAAAGGGGGAAGAAGAAAAAGAGAAGAAAUGAAGGGAGAAGAAGCUAGGGCUUACCUGCGAGUCCGGCGACGAAAGACGACGGAGGAGGCGGCCAGGCGGCGGCUGUGCGCUCCCUAUGGCGGAGAGGGCAGAUGCCCUGUUCCAGACGAGGGGAUGGAGAGGAGGCUACCCGCGCACUUUUCCGAGCAGGAGCCGAAGGAGGAAGACCAGGCGGCGCAGUGCUUGGCCACGACGAAGGCGGCAGCGACACGCGAAGGCGGCGGCGUGCGGCUAACUUCCGGCGAGGAAGAGUGAGAGAGGUGAAGAAAGAACAGAGAGACGAGAGGGAGAGAAGAGGUGACCGAGGGAGUGAGGGGGAGAGCGGAGAGUCCGACGAGGCGGCGCGCCGGAGGCGGCGCCGCACUCGACCGAACAGAGCAGAGAGAGAGAGAGAGCCGGGAGAGAGCCGAGAGAUAGAGAGAGAAUGAGGCUGUGUGUGUAUUUGUGUGUUAUGUGUGUGUUGUAGGAUUAGGGCUUUGUUUUAAUUGGGCUUAAAGCCUCUAAUGGCUGGGUCGAGAUUUUUAAAAAAAAAGGAGAAGGGAAUGGGCCGUUUCUUUUAGUGUACUGGGCCUUUUGAUUUUAAAAGCUGAUGGGUUUUGAUUUAAAUUGAUUGGGCCUCAAUUUAAUUAAUUUUGGGCUGUUAUAGAUUAUUAAAGCCUACGAAUUUUAGCCUAAUUUCUUGUGUAAAUGUUUGAAUUUUCACUAAAUUAUUUUAGUGAAUUUAAAUCUCUUGAUUUAAAUUUUUAAUAUUGAAAGUUGAGACUAUUUAUUUUAAAUGGAG